RNAcentral lists this ribosomal RNA (207 nucleotides) under uncultured bacterium. RNAcentral describes it as "partial 16S ribosomal RNA". It matches the Rfam family "Bacterial small subunit ribosomal RNA", at positions 568 to 774 of the family's 1533-position model. The record is from RNAcentral.
UGCGUAGGUGGUUUCUUAAGUCAGGAGUGAAAGGCUACGGCUCAACCGUAGUAAGCUCUUGAAACUGGGAAACUUGAGUGCAGGAGAGGAAAGUGGAAUUCCUAGUGUAGCGGUGAAAUGCGUAGAUAUUAGGAGGAACACCAGUAGCGAAGGCGGCUUUCUGGACUGUAACUGACACUGAGGCACGAAAGCGUGGGGAAGCAAACA